CGGGAGAAUCUGUUAAGCUCAGGAGGGAUAGCGCCAUGAGCAUGACAAAGUCUAUGUUUGAGUUAAUCUCAACAAAAUCAAUCCAGUCAUCAGUGGCGCUAUCUAUCCUGAGUUCUAUGGGUUCUCCUU
Molecule: non-coding RNA, 129 nt
Organism: Populus trichocarpa (black cottonwood)
Lineage: Eukaryota; Viridiplantae; Streptophyta; Magnoliopsida; Malpighiales; Salicaceae
Source: Rfam